Molecule: small nucleolar RNA, 312 nt
Organism: Drosophila sulfurigaster albostrigata
Lineage: Eukaryota; Metazoa; Arthropoda; Insecta; Diptera; Drosophilidae
Source: RefSeq, a predicted model, not a curated record
GCUGCUUGAGGCGACUGCUGUGACAAGAGACUCGAAUCACUUCAUAGACAAUAGCACAUCAAGCGUUUCAUCCGUUGUAAUCUUAGUGAUCGCCUCGGAGCUUGUGACGAUCGCUGUAAGGCCGACGGAACAUCAAAGGCCUUGAAACGCUAGACUGUCAUUUAUCGUUGAGUCAAGAUAACUGAUUUAGGCGUGGGCAAACAUUCAAUUCCCAAAUGAAACAUCCGUGCUAUUGUCGACACCCCAUAACACAGCAGUUGUUGAGGCUUGUGCUGUUGCCGCAUUGACGACGUCUUUAGUAAUCUGAUAUUG